GAGCAACGAACAGCCGCGGAGGCGACAGCUACCGCUUCAGAGGAGGCGGCCGCGGAGGAGGAGGAAGGGGAGGAGGGCGAGGCGGGAGGUGCAGGAGGGACCCUCGCCAUGGGUCCACGGGCCUAGAGUGGCGGAAGAUACCGGCCUGGUGCCAAACUGGCUACUGCUGCUUCCUGUGGCCUCCAUGGCUGAGGACUGGCUGGACUGCCCGGCCCUGGGCCCUGGCUGGAAGCGCCGCGAAGUCUUUCGCAAGUCAGGGGCCACCUGUGGACGCUCAGACACCUAUUACCAGAGCCCCACAGGAGACAGGAUCCGAAGCAAAGUUGAGCUGACUCGAUACCUGGGCCCUGCGUGUGAUCUCACCCUCUUCGACUUCAAACAAGGCAUCUUGUGCUAUCCAGCCCCCAAGGCCCAUCCCGUGGCGGUUGCCAGCAAGAAGCGAAAGAAGCCUUCAAGGCCAGCCAAGACUCGGAAACGUCAGGUUGGACCCCAGAGUGGUGAGGUCAGGAAGGAGGCCCCGAGGGAUGAGACCAAGGCUGACACUGACACAGCCCCAGCUUCAUUCCCUGCUCCUGGGUGAGUGUUGGUCUAAGGUGAGCCAGAUGGGUGAGGGUUGUGAUUGAGGGUGCUCUUGGAGCCCCACACCUGCCUUUCCCAUCCCAGGUGCUGUGAGAACUGUGGAAUCAGCUUCUCAGGGGAUGGCACCCAAAGGCAGCGGCUCAAAACGUUGUGCAAAGACUGUCGAGCACAGAGAAUUGCCUUCAACCGGGAACAGAGAAUGUUUAAGCGUGUGGGCUGUGGGGAGUGUGCAGCCUGCCAGGUAACAGAAGACUGUGGGGCCUGCUCCACCUGCCUCCUGCAGCUGCCCCAUGAUGUGGCAUCGGGGCUGUUCUGCAAGUGUGAACGGAGACGCUGCCUCCGGAUUGUGGAAAGGAGCCGAGGGUGUGGAGUAUGCCGGGGCUGUCAGACCCAAGAGGAUUGUGGCCAUUGCCCCAUCUGCCUUCGCCCUCCC
RNAcentral lists this small RNA (1012 nucleotides) under Pan troglodytes (chimpanzee). RNAcentral describes it as "retained intron". Lineage: Eukaryota; Metazoa; Chordata; Mammalia; Primates; Hominidae. The record is from RNAcentral.